CCUACGGGUGGCUGCAGUAGGGAAUAUUGGGCAAUGGAGGCAACUCUGACCCAGCCAUGCCGCGUGCAGGAUGAAGGCGUUAUGCGUUGUAAACUGCUUUUAUAUAGGAAGAAAUAGACCUUGCGAGGUAAGUUGACGGUACUAUAUGAAUAAGCACCGGCUAACUCCGUGCCAGCAGCCGCGGUAAUACGGAGGGUGCAAGCGUUGUCCGGAUUUAUUGGGUUUAAAGGGUGCGUAGGCGGUUUAUUAAGUCAGUGGUGAAAGACGGUCGCUCAACGAUUGCAGUGCCAUUGAUACUGGUAGACUUGAGUGGGAUUGAGGUAGCUGGAAUGGAUAGUGUAGCGGUGAAAUGCAUAGAUAUUAUCCAGAACACCAAUUGCGUAGGCAAGUUACUAAGUCUCAACUGACGCUGAGGCACGAAAGUGUGGGUAUCAAACAGGAUUAGAUACCCAAGUAGUC
This 459-nucleotide ribosomal RNA is filed under the name uncultured bacterium. RNAcentral describes it as "bacterial SSU rRNA". It matches the Rfam family "Bacterial small subunit ribosomal RNA", at positions 338 to 795 of the family's 1533-position model. The record is from RNAcentral.